Heterocephalus glaber (naked mole-rat) is the source of this 1332-nucleotide non-coding RNA. Lineage: Eukaryota; Metazoa; Chordata; Mammalia; Rodentia; Bathyergidae. The record is from RefSeq and is a predicted model, not a curated record.
UCGGUAACCCGGGCAACGCGGGCCCCGACCAGUGCAACCUGGAGCCUCACCUCUGACCUUAGGGUCUCCGCCACGCCCCUGGGCGGUCCUCCUGGCCGCCGGGUGACCCUGCUGCUCACCUUCGGAGCUCCCGCCUCCUUCACCCCUACCCACUCUCCAGGAGCGUGGCUCCGGGGCGGAGGCGGCCCCAGGCCUCGAGCCCCUCGGCGCAACCCAGCCGGCCGUCCCUGUGGGGAGCGGGGCACCUUCCCGCGCGCCGCCCCUCAGUGGCCCGCGGUCCCCGGCGCCGCCUCCCCAGGAGCGGGAGGCCGAGCGCCUUCCGAGGCGGCGCGCACCAGCGCGAGGGCUGCCCGCCAGCGAGGCUGAGCCGCCGCGUGUUAUUUCAUUCGUGAUUUUUGCAGAGGCUGAAAUUUGGGUUGCGUCAAACUCGGAAUCUCCGCGAAGAGGACCUUUUUGGGUUGUUUUUCUGGCUUGUUUUAUUUUGUUUCCCAAAAUGGCAGCCUCCAGCCGCGCACAAGUGCUAGAUCUGUACCGGGCGAUGCUGAGAGAGAGCAAGCGUUUCAGCGCCUACAACUACAGAACGUAUGCUAUCAGGAGGAUAAGAGACGCCUUCAGAGAAAAUAAAAAUGUAAAGGAUCCGGUAGAAAUUCAAACCCUAGUGAAUAAAGCCAGAAGAGACCUUGGGAUAAUCCGCCGACAGCGGCUUGGAAAUCCCGUUCUGCUCUCCCGUGCCUUCGGGGCCAUCUUCUGCAGCAUUUCCUGGUCGUUCCUUUCGAGUGCUCUUGCGGUGUCAGCCACCCCCAGAAGCAGGAGUCUAUGAGCAGCUGGGCUGGAUCAGUUCUUUCCCCUGGCUCCCCGAUUCCCCUCAGGCACACCGCUGUUUUCCCUCCACCAUCCUGGGCUCGGGUCUGGCUCUUGGAGCUGCAGUUCCAAAGGUCCAUAUUAGCCACCUCUACUCAACGGACAAGCUGGUCAUCGAGAACCAAGAGAAGCCCAGGACUUAGGAGCUGGGUCCAGGCACCAGUGAAGGAUGAAGGCUUCCUGUGCGGGCCAGGGGCUCUCAGCCCGCUUGCGCUGCAGGAGCUGAUAAACUGAGUCAUGUUUGCAUCUUGUUUCAGCCUUGGGGUGGAAGGACGGCUGCCCUCCUUCAGUUCAGGUGUCAGGGCGGAGCCAGAGACAGCUUGGGGACACUGUGUGUUGCUGUGUCCCCUCUCGGCCCCAGCGCACCCUGUUGCUGCUCCACAUGUGUUCACUGCACAUGCAGACUGGUUCUCCAUCCUUGGCAAUAAACAGUUGUCUCCCUCUUUCCACACCAAUAAACCCAUUGCGGUA